GAGAGCCGUGUGAUGGGUGACUAUCCAGCACGGUUCGGAGAGCACUUUUAGUCUGCGCUGAUGAAUGGAAGCUCCCCCCUAUCAAGCAAGAAGGAAGCGGAAAUCCUACGGGUUGGAUUGCUCGUGUGUCCAGGGGACAAAUCCUUACCACUCCUUAUUUUUACUUAUAUAUUACUCUCU
Molecule: non-coding RNA, 180 nt
Organism: Solanum lycopersicum (tomato)
Lineage: Eukaryota; Viridiplantae; Streptophyta; Magnoliopsida; Solanales; Solanaceae
Source: Rfam